GAUGAACGCUGGCGGCGUGCUUAACACAUGCAAGUCGAACGGAAAGGCCCAGGCUUGCUUGGGUACUCGAGUGGCGAACGGGUGAGUAACACGUGGGUGAUCUGCCCUGCACUUCGGGAUAAGCCUGGGAAACUGGGUCUAAUACCGGAUAGGACCACUUCUUGGAUGUUGUGGUGGAAAGUUUUUUCGGUGUGGGAUGAGCUCGCGGCCUAUCAGCUUGUUGGUGGGGUAAUGGCCUACCAAGGCGUCGACGGGUAGCCGGCCUGUGAGGGUGUACGGCCACAUUGGGACUGAGAUACGGCCCAGACUCCUACGGGAGGCAGCAGUGGGGAAUAUUGCACAAUGGGCGCAAGCCUGAUGCAGCGACGCCGCGUGGGGGAUGACGGCCUUCGGGUUGUAAACUCCUUUCGCUAGGGACGAAGCGUUUUGUGACGGUACCUGGAGAAGAAGCACCGGCUAACUACGUG
Molecule: ribosomal RNA, 467 nt
Filed under: uncultured bacterium
Lineage: Bacteria
Description: partial 16S ribosomal RNA
Rfam family: Bacterial small subunit ribosomal RNA
Source: RNAcentral